GUUUAUCAAAAAUCUUUAUUUUCUUACUUAAUCCGCAGCUUCUAUUUAUCGGGUUUUUGCUAUUAAAUGGUGAUGUUUCAUCGCUUCGUUACAUAUUAUUUUCUUCUCUAUUCUGAUUUGAAUAUAGAAUAGUUCUAUUUC
Molecule: non-coding RNA, 141 nt
Organism: Caenorhabditis elegans
Lineage: Eukaryota; Metazoa; Nematoda; Chromadorea; Rhabditida; Rhabditidae
Source: Ensembl